AGGUGGAACUGGUUCUUCUGAGGACUGGCUGCUGGGCUAACAAGGAAGGCUGCCUUGGGAAGGCCCUCCCGAGGACCUAGAGGUCGUCUGGGAACAGAGCCCUCUUCCAGGGAGUCAGAGGAAAUUGGCCUCCAGUCUCCCAAGGCACCUGCAGUCUCUGUACAUCUGGCUUGCCUCCUUCCUGGUUCUACAGUUAUCAGACUCGUUCUCCUCAAGAGUCAGGCACAGUGAGUCCUAGCCCUAUAUUCUUUGAUACUUCUUGCGAGGGUGCAUUAAAAUCUC
Molecule: long non-coding RNA, 282 nt
Filed under: Fukomys damarensis (Damara mole-rat)
Lineage: Eukaryota; Metazoa; Chordata; Mammalia; Rodentia; Bathyergidae
Description: lncRNA (ENSFDAG00000033273.1)
Source: RNAcentral